Long non-coding RNA from Humulus lupulus (European hop), 752 nucleotides. RefSeq lists it as uncharacterized. The transcript has 5 exons. NCBI's taxonomy places the organism in Eukaryota, Viridiplantae, Streptophyta, Magnoliopsida, Rosales, Cannabaceae. The record is from RefSeq and is a predicted model, not a curated record.
ACUCUCGAUCUCUCCGUCGACGCACCCCUCACCCUCGAUCUCUCUGUCGCCGCACCCUCACCCUCCCUCUCGAUCUCUCCAUCGCCGCCUCUACCUCAGCCAGCCGAUUGUAGCCGCACCGCCACCGUCGCCGACCGAAUAGCACAGGCAGAAGGGACGAUUCGCACGGAGCGAAGAGCACAGGCCGAAGUAAGGAGACUUUACCAGGUGGAGUUUCAGUCAAUAAAAAGAGAGUUGAAAAAGGGCUUUCACAACUAAAGCUUAAAACAAUGGCCAUGAGUACUUAUCCCCAAAAAAAUCAGAGCUCUAUCUCGCCGUUCUCCUGACUCCGCUACUCUCUCCAUUUCGCUGUCAUCUCUUGGUUUUCCGAGGUACUCUUGCUCGUCUUUGGUAUGCGUGGCGUCGUCUCCGGUGGUGGCUGUUCUCUCUUCUUGUUAAAGGUUAAUAUUUUGAUUGGUCUUAAAGCAUUGGAUUGGUAGCUAAUUGCAAGAGUUCACCUUCGACAAGCCAUAUACUACUCAAGAAAUUGAUGAAGUUAGAGAAGAAUGGGCAAUGUUAUUUUUACAUUUGGUUCGAGCAAAAUGAAUGAUGUUAUAGCUAGCUAAUUACAAUACAUGUUUAGAAAUUUUAAAUUUAUUUCGUAAAAUUUUUUGCCAUUUUUUUAGUAUUUUCUUUUCAAAUUUCUUUUGAUACAUAUUCGACACUCAAAUGGAUAUAUAUAUUUUUAAAUCAAAAUUAAAAUUGUAGCUGUA